AGUUCCUGUCACACGUCACAAAGGACAGUCAAUGUGUAUCCUCCUUGUGCGUGUCACAGUAACACA
Molecule: microRNA precursor, 66 nt
Filed under: Melibe leonina
Lineage: Eukaryota; Metazoa; Mollusca; Gastropoda; Nudibranchia; Dendronotidae
Description: microRNA mle-mir-210 precursor
Gene: mle-mir-210
Source: miRBase by way of RNAcentral